Molecule: ribosomal RNA, 253 nt
Filed under: uncultured bacterium
Lineage: Bacteria
Description: partial 16S ribosomal RNA
Rfam family: Bacterial small subunit ribosomal RNA
Source: RNAcentral
UACGGAGGGGGCUAGCGUUGUUCGGAAUUACUGGGCGUAAAGCGCGCGUAGGCGGCUUUGUAAGUUAGAGGUGAAAGCCCGGAGCUCAACUCCGGAACUGCCUUUAAAACUGCAUCGCUUGAAUCCAGGAGAGGUGAGUGGAAUUCCGAGUGUAGAGGUGAAAUUCGUAGAUAUUCGGAAGAACACCAGUGGCGAAGGCGGCUCACUGGACUGGUAUUGACGCUGAGGUGCGAAAGCGUGGGGGGCAAACAGG